GCGGGUGUAGCUCAAUGGUAGAGCCCCGGCCUUCCAAGCCGGUGGUGUGGGUUCGAUUCCCAUCACCCGCUCCA
This 74-nucleotide transfer RNA is filed under the name Bacillota bacterium. Its description in RNAcentral is "Firmicutes bacterium (anaerobic digester metagenome) tRNA-Gly". It matches the Rfam family "tRNA". Rfam says of the family: Transfer RNA (tRNA) molecules are approximately 80 nucleotides in length. Their secondary structure includes four short double-helical elements and three loops (D, anti-codon, and T loops). The record is from RNAcentral. Lineage: Bacteria; Bacillati; Bacillota. RNAcentral also lists the same sequence under 2 other names.